UGAGGAAUAUUGGUCAAUGGGCGCGAGCCUGAACCAGCCAAGUAGCGUGAAGGAUGAAGGUCCUAUGGAUUGUAAACUUCUUUUAUAGCAGAAUAAAGUGACCCACAUGUGGGUUUUUGUAUGUAUGCUAUGAAUAAGGAUCGGCUAACUCCGUGCCAGCAGCCGCGGUAAUACGGAGGAUCCGAGCGUUAUCCGGAUUUAUUGGGUUUAAAGGGUGCGUAGGCGGAAAGAUAAGUCAGCCUGUGAAAGUUUGCGGCUCAACCGUAAAAUUGCAGUUGAUACUGUUUUUCUUGAGUGUACAUAAGGUAGGCGGAAUUCGUGGUGUAGCGGUGAAAUGCUUAGAUAUCACGAAGAACUCCGAUUGCGAAGGCAGCUUACCGGGGUACAACUGACGCUGAUGCACGAAAGUGUGGGUAUCAAACA
RNAcentral lists this ribosomal RNA (423 nucleotides) under uncultured bacterium. RNAcentral's name for it is "bacterial SSU rRNA". It matches the Rfam family "Bacterial small subunit ribosomal RNA", at positions 355 to 774 of the family's 1533-position model. The record is from RNAcentral.